GAAGCACGAGGAGAGAUUCUGCAUUUCCUAAUAUAUUCGUAUACAAAGGGCCCAGAGAAAAGAUAUCACAUUUCCUUUCUCUCAUACCAAUGCAACAUAUGAUGUUUGACCUGCCACCUACGUGCUAUAUAGGACUUUCCUACAUGUUGUUCAUCUUAUGGAGGUCCGCAUCAUUGCAUUGCAGGUGGUUUUAACUCUGUAUUUUAUAGCAGCUCUGUAAGGGUUGUCUCAGGCGUCACUGUUGUUUAUUUUGGUAAUUCCCCGAUCUUAUUUUGCUUAGGAGUGCCCACCUAUAAUUGAACAUGCAGUUACGCUGGUGGGGUAGAGCGCUCCUCCGAAGAUGCUGCAGAUGCUGACUUACCUCGCCAUGAAGCACGACGCCAACAUGCAGCGUGUCGACACAGUCCGGGCUUACAGCUUCGGGGCUCUCUACUUUGUCGAGGUAUUAUGUUGGCUUUCCAAAGGCACUGCAAGAGGAUGGGAAGAACAAGAAAUCUGGGAAAAGAUGCCAAUUAUAUCUUAAUACACAGGCCAUCUCCACAACAGAGGUUACGUAGAGUGUUGGAAAUCAUGCAUGCUGUCACCCUGCCAUCAUCAGCCAUGUAGCGCUGCAGCCCUCUCGGCCCGUCUGAGGCCCAUUAGUUCGAGGAGAUUGGUCCCUAACAACUGAAGCAGCCAUUCAGUUGGCCUGAAGGACAUCAACAACAAUGGGAGCAUUUGUGUCGACAUAUUGAAGGACGAAAGGAGCUCUACUCUAACUAUUUCCAAGCCAAUGAAGGGAUAAUAGGGAAGGCUUCCAGUUCAGUUACUUCCAGAGAUGCAUGGUUGAUAAUUGAUGAGUUCUGAAGGCCCAGUUCACUUACUUACAGAGCUGACUGAUAAAUGAGGAGUUUUGCAAGUGGUUUUCAUCAUAACAUGAUAUGGAACAAACCAUGUCGAAGACGUGCCUGAUGCCGGUGGCAAGAAAAACAUCAGUUAAUUCCCCGUUAGGAAAGUUGUCUAAUAGGUGACACGGGUCACCGAUAGUUCUCUUCCAGCUAUCUAGGUGCUGUAGAAUCUUACCGUUCCACUCUUCUCUUUUGCUAUGUAUUGUACAUAUGAAUCAACUGUACGAUGCAAUAGCUGUCUUCUGCAUCUCUUCUAGAUGGUGGCUUGACCCUUCCGUGUUCUUCGUUCUGUACAAUUGCUUUUGUUUCAUGUUGCUAUCUCCACUCUUAUUUUUUACUUCUUUGUACUUUUUACUAGCUGCCAUACUUGGUUUGGAGAAAAGACUUUGUACUGAAAUGGAUUAUCAUAUUGGCAGCUUUUUUUUU
Molecule: non-coding RNA, 1313 nt
Organism: Lolium perenne
Lineage: Eukaryota; Viridiplantae; Streptophyta; Magnoliopsida; Poales; Poaceae
Source: RefSeq, a predicted model, not a curated record